RNAcentral lists this unclassified non-coding RNA (491 nucleotides) under Hevea brasiliensis (rubber tree). Lineage: Eukaryota; Viridiplantae; Streptophyta; Magnoliopsida; Malpighiales; Euphorbiaceae. The record is from RNAcentral.
GCCAUUUCAGAUGGUGUUGAAGUACUCGACUGUCCUGUUCAAAUAACCAAAGACGGGAUACCAUUUUGCAUGAGCUCAAUUAAUCUCAUCGACAGCACAACAAUAUCUCAAUCACCAUUCAUUAACCGUUCAAAAAAAAUUCCCGAAAUUAGUCCUAACGAAGGAAUUUUUGCUUUUGACUUAACAUGGGAAGAGAUUCAAGGCCUAACCCCGUCAAUAUUGAACCCUUAUUCGAAGUUCACGUUGUUCCGAAAUCCAAGGUUCAGAAACAGUGGAAAAUUCAUAACACUACCUGAUUUCUUGGCCUUCGCAAAGAAUGCAAGCACUCUUUCUGGUGUCUUGAUCCAUAUUGAGCAUGCAGCCUACCUUGCUAAGGAUCAGGGUUUAAGUGUAACUGAUGCGGUCUUUGGUUCCUUAAGCAAAGCUGGUUAUGAUAAUCAGACAGCCCUUAAAGUAUUGAUUCAAUCUCCAGAUAGUGCUGUUCUAAAAAA